This 253-nucleotide ribosomal RNA is filed under the name uncultured bacterium. RNAcentral describes it as "partial 16S ribosomal RNA". It matches the Rfam family "Bacterial small subunit ribosomal RNA", at positions 524 to 776 of the family's 1533-position model. The record is from RNAcentral.
CACGUAGGGUGCGAGCGUUGUCCGGAAUUAUUGGGCGUAAAGAGCUCGUAGGCGGUUUGUCGCGUCUGGUGUGAAAAUCCAGGGCUUAACCCUGGACCUGCAUCGGGUACGGGCAGACUAGAGUGCGGUAGGGGAGAUCGGAAUUCCUGGUGUAGCGGUGAAAUGCGCAGAUAUCAGGAGGAACACCGGUGGCGAAGGCGGUUCUCUGGGCAUUACCUGACGCUGAGGAGCGAAAGUGUGGGGAGCGAACAGG